RNAcentral lists this transfer RNA (62 nucleotides) under Polypsocus corruptus. RNAcentral's name for it is "tRNA-Thr". It matches the Rfam family "tRNA". Rfam says of the family: Transfer RNA (tRNA) molecules are approximately 80 nucleotides in length. Their secondary structure includes four short double-helical elements and three loops (D, anti-codon, and T loops). Lineage: Eukaryota; Metazoa; Arthropoda; Insecta; Psocodea; Amphipsocidae. The record is from RNAcentral.
GUUUUAAUAAUUUAAUAUAAAAUAUUGGUCUUGUAAACCAAAAAUGAAUUUUUCUUAAAACU